This 73-nucleotide transfer RNA is filed under the name Candidatus Woesearchaeota archaeon. RNAcentral's name for it is "tRNA-Val". It matches the Rfam family "tRNA". From Rfam's summary of the family: Transfer RNA (tRNA) molecules are approximately 80 nucleotides in length. Their secondary structure includes four short double-helical elements and three loops (D, anti-codon, and T loops). The record is from RNAcentral. Lineage: Archaea; Nanobdellati; Candidatus Woesearchaeota.
GGGCUCUUGGUUCAGUGGCUAGAACGCCACCUUGACAUGGUGGAGGUCACCGGUUCGAUUCCGGUAGAGCCCA